RNAcentral lists this ribosomal RNA (222 nucleotides) under Clostridioides difficile. RNAcentral's name for it is "partial 23S ribosomal RNA". It matches the Rfam family "Bacterial large subunit ribosomal RNA", at positions 763 to 985 of the family's 2925-position model. The record is from RNAcentral. Lineage: Bacteria; Bacillati; Bacillota; Clostridia; Peptostreptococcales; Peptostreptococcaceae.
UUCGUGGAGGUCCGAACCCACGAGCGUUGAAAAGCUCGGGGAUGACUUGUGGGUAGCGGUGAAAUUCCAAUCGAGCCCGGAGAUAGCUGGUUCUCCCCGAAAUAGCUUUAGGGCUAGCCUCAAGGUGAGAGAUACGGAGGUAGAGCACUGAAUGUCCUAGGGGGUAUUGCACCUACCGAAGACUAUCAAACUCCGAAUGCCGUCAUCUUAUACUUGGGAGUC